RNAcentral lists this ribosomal RNA (402 nucleotides) under uncultured bacterium. RNAcentral describes it as "bacterial SSU rRNA". It matches the Rfam family "Bacterial small subunit ribosomal RNA", at positions 356 to 773 of the family's 1533-position model. The record is from RNAcentral.
GGGGAAUAUUGCGCAAUGGGGGAAACCCUGACGCAGCAACGCCGCGUGAAGGAAGAAGGUCUUCGGAUCGUAAACUUCUUUGAUGAGGGACGAACAAAUGACGGUACCUCAAAAACAAGCCACGGCUAACUACGUGCCAGCAGCCGCGGUAAUACGUAGGUGGCGAGCGUUGUCCGGAAUUACUGGGUGUAAAGGGCGUGUAGGCGGGGAAGCAAGUCAGAUGUGAAAUACCGUGGCUCAACCACGGGGCUGCAUCUGAAACUGUUUUUCUUGAGUGUCGGAGAGGAAAGUGGAAUUCCCAGUGUAGCGGUGAAAUGCGUAGAUAUUGGGAGGAACACCAGUGGCGAAGGCGACUUUCUGGACGAUAACUGACGCUGAGGCGCGAAAGCGUGGGGAGCAAAC